RNAcentral lists this ribosomal RNA (253 nucleotides) under uncultured bacterium. RNAcentral describes it as "partial 16S ribosomal RNA". It matches the Rfam family "Bacterial small subunit ribosomal RNA", at positions 524 to 776 of the family's 1533-position model. The record is from RNAcentral.
UACGGGGGGGGCAAGCGUUGUUCGGAAUUACUGGGCGUAAAGGGCUCGUAGGCGGCCAACUAAGUCAGACGUGAAAUCCCUCGGCUUAACCGGGGAACUGCGUCUGAUACUGGAUGGCUUGAGUUUGGGAGAGGGAUGCGGAAUUCCAGGUGUAGCGGUGAAAUGCGUAGAUAUCUGGAGGAACACCGGUGGCGAAGGCGGCAUCCUGGACCACGACUGACGCUGAAUAGCGAAAGCCAGGGGAGCAAACGGG